GACGAACGCUGGCGGCGUGCUUAACACAUGCAAGUCGAACGGUGAAGCGCCUUCCUUUUUGGCGGGGGUGGAUGAGUGGCGAACGGGUGAGUAACACGUGGGUAACCUUCCCCCUUCUUCUGGAUAACCGCAUGAAAGUGUGUCUAAUACGGGAUAUUCUGGGUCUGUCUCAUGAUGGGUCUGGGAAGGAUAUUGUUUCGGUGGGACAUGGGCUCGCGGUCUAUCAGUUUGUUGGUGGGGUGAUGGUUUACCAAGGCGGUGACGGGUAGCCGGCCUGCGAGGGUGGCCGAGCACGCCGGAAAGGAGGCACGGCCAAGACUGCAACGGGACGCAGCACAGAGGACUACGGGACAAUGCGGGCAAGAAUAAUGCAGCGUCGCCGCAAGCGUGAUGGAGGCCUGCGGGUUGUGAACUUCUUUCGCUAGUGAAGCAGACCUGCCUUAUGUGUGGGUAUAUUGACGGUAGCUGGAGAAGAAGCGCCGGCUAACUACGUG
Molecule: ribosomal RNA, 494 nt
Filed under: uncultured bacterium
Lineage: Bacteria
Description: partial 16S ribosomal RNA
Rfam family: Bacterial small subunit ribosomal RNA
Source: RNAcentral